GGGUUGUGAGGUUAAGCGACUAAGCGUACACGGUGGAUGCCCUGGCAGUCAGAGGCGAUGAAGGGCGUGCUAAUCUGCGAUAAGCGCCGGUAAGGUGAUAUGAACCGUUAUAACCGGCGAUACCCGAAUGGGGAAACCCAGUGUGACUCGUCACACUAUCAUUAACUGAAUCCAUAGGUUAAUGAGGCGAACCGGGGGAACUGAAACAUCUAAGUACCCCGAGGAAAAGAAAUCAACCGAGAUUCCCCCAGUAGCGGCGAGCGAACGGGGAGGAGCCCAGAGCCUGAAUCAGCAUGUGUGUUAGUGGAAGCGUCUGGAAAGGCGCGCGAUACAGGGUGACAGCCCCGUACACAAAAGCGCAUGUGCUGUGAGCUCGAUGAGUAGGGCGGGACACGUGGUAUCCUGUCUGAAUAUGGGGGGACCAUCCUCCAAGGCUAAAUACUCCUGACUGACCGAUAGUGAACCAGUACCGUGAGGGAAAGGCGAAAAGAACCCCGGCGAGGGGAGUGAAAAAGAACCUGAAACCGUGUACGUACAAGCAGUGGGAGCACCCUUUUGGGUGUGACUGCGUACCUUUUGUAUAAUGGGUCAGCGACUUAUAUUCUGUAGCAAGGUUAACCGAAUAGGGGAGCCGGAGGGAAACCGAGUCUUAACCGGGCGUUAAGUUGCAGGGUAUAGACCCGAAACCCGGUGAUCUAGCCAUGGGCAGGUUGAAGGUUGGGUAACACUAACUGGAGGACCGAACCGACUAAUGUUGAAAAAUUAGCGGAUGACCUGUGGCUGGGGGUGAAAGGCCAAUCAAACCGGGAGAUAGCUGGUUCUCCCCGAAAGCUAUUUAGGUAGCGCCUCGUGAAUUCAUCUCCGGGGGUAGAGCACUGUUUCGGCUAGGGGGCCAUCCCGGCUUACCAACCCGAUGCAAACUGCGAAUACCGGAGAAUGUUAUCACGGGAGACACACGGCGGGUGCUAACGUCCGUCGUGAAGAGGGAAACAACCCAGACCGCCAGCUAAGGUCCCAAAGUCAUGGUUAAGUGGGAAACGAUGUGGGAAGGCCCAGACAGCCAGGAUGUUGGCUUAGAAGCAGCCAUCAUUUAAAGAAAGCGUAAUAGCUCACUGGUCGAGUCGGCCUGCGCGGAAGAUGUAACGGGGCUAAACCAUGCACCGAAGCUGCGGCAGCGACGCUUAUGCGUUGUUGGGUAGGGGAGCGUUCUGUAAGCCUG
This 1219-nucleotide ribosomal RNA is filed under the name Salmonella enterica subsp. enterica. RNAcentral's name for it is "partial 23S ribosomal RNA". It matches the Rfam family "Bacterial large subunit ribosomal RNA", at positions 1 to 1251 of the family's 2925-position model. The record is from RNAcentral. Lineage: Bacteria; Pseudomonadati; Pseudomonadota; Gammaproteobacteria; Enterobacterales; Enterobacteriaceae.